This 529-nucleotide ribosomal RNA is filed under the name uncultured bacterium. Its description in RNAcentral is "partial 16S ribosomal RNA". It matches the Rfam family "Bacterial small subunit ribosomal RNA", at positions 355 to 882 of the family's 1533-position model. The record is from RNAcentral.
UGGGGAAUUUUGGACAAUGGGCGAAAGCCUGAUCCAGCAAUGCCGCGUGUGUGAAGAAGGCCUUCGGGUUGUAAAGCACUUUUGUCCGGAAAGAAAUCCUUGGCUCUAAUACAGUCGGGGGAUGACGGUACCGGAAGAAUAAGCACCGGCUAACUACGUGCCAGCAGCCGCGGUAAUACGUAGGGUGCAAGCGUUAAUCGGAAUUACUGGGCGUAAAGCGUGCGCAGGCGGUUUGCUAAGACCGAUNUGAAUCCCGGGCUCAACCUGGGAACUGCAUUGGUGACUGGCAGGCUAGAGUAUGGCAGAGGGGGGUAGAAUUCCACGUGUAGCAGUGAAAUGCGUAGAGAUGUGGAGAAUACCGAUGGCGAAGGCAGCCCCUGGGCCAAUACUGACGCUCAUGCACGAAAGCGUGGGGAGCAAACAGGAUUAGAUACCCUGGUAGUCCACGCCCUAAACGAUGUCAACUAGUUGUUGGGGAUUCAUUUCCUUAGUAACUAGCUAACGCGUGAAGUUGACCGCCUGGGGAGUA